AUCAGCUUAUGCAUCAAGGCAAUUAGCGCAUUGGCGAGCCUAAAAACCGCCAUAGUCGACAUUCAAUUACUUGUGUGGGGUGCAUUUUUGUAUCAGCUGGUUAACAUCAAUUUUGGCUGUCAUAAAAAGGCUAAAGGGGAUGUGGUUCCUUCGGGAGUGUGAUAACCUUUAGCGGAAUAUGGUGGUCGGGAUUGAGGUAUGCAGCGAAUACCUUUAGGGCUGCUCAAACUGGUCUGGUCACUCCUCUUUAGUUAUCAUAUAUAUGGUGCGUUCCGCUAAUUUAGGGGUGGUUAGUCAGGUGGUGCAAAUUCGUUAAGGAUGUUAACAAAGUGGCUUU
This 337-nucleotide ribosomal RNA is filed under the name uncultured Glomeromycotina. Its description in RNAcentral is "eukaryotic LSU rRNA". Lineage: Eukaryota; Fungi; Glomeromycota. The record is from RNAcentral.